This 1208-nucleotide small RNA is filed under the name Chrysosporium undulatum. RNAcentral describes it as "eukaryotic LSU rRNA". The stretch from base 621 to 1208 matches the Rfam family "Eukaryotic large subunit ribosomal RNA", at positions 1 to 588 of the family's 3401-position model. Lineage: Eukaryota; Fungi; Ascomycota; Eurotiomycetes; Onygenales; Onygenaceae. The record is from RNAcentral.
UGAACCUGCGGAAGGAUCAUUACAGUGCCCCCGCGGCAGGCCCGCGUCUCCCGCCCCGAGAGGGGUGUGUUUCGAUGGCGCUGCCGCAACCGGCCCCACACUUGUCUACCUAACCUGUUGCCUCGGCGAGCCCGCCCCCCGCCCCCCCAAAAAGGGGGCGAGGGGCCGCCGGAGGAGGGGAAGCCGCCCCGGCGCCCUCGCUUCUGGCCCGCGCUCGCCGGAGGACCAAAUCAAAAAACCUGAUAAUUUAGUGACGUCUGAGUGAGAAAUUACGAAUAAAUCAAAACUUUCAACAAUGGAUCUCUUGGUUCCGGCAUCGAUGAAGAACGCAGCGAAAUGCGAUAAGUAAUGUGAAUUGCAGAAUUCCGUGAAUCAUCGAAUCUUUGAACGCACAUUGCGCCCCCUGGUAUUCCGGGGGGCAUGCCUGUCCGAGCGUCAUUGCAACCCUCAAGCCCGGCUUGUGUUUUGGGCGGCCGUCCCGCGUGGACGCGCCCCAAUGGCAGUGACGGCAGCCGCGACUCCGGCGCCCGAGUGAAUGGAGGUAAAAAAACCACCGCUCGUAGGCGCAGGCCGGCUCCGGUCUUCUUUAGCUAGAACGGGGAGUAAGAUCCCCAAUCGGUUGACCUCGGAUCAGGUAGGGAUACCCGCUGAACUUAAGCAUAUCAAUAAGCGGAGGAAAAGAAACCAACUGGGAUUGCCUCAGUAACGGCGAGUGAAGCGGCAAAAGCUCAAAUUUGAAAUCUGGCUCCCUAGCAGGGGUCCGAGUUGUAAUUUGAAGAGGAUGCUUCGGGUGCGGCCGCGGCGCAAGUUCCUUGGAACAGGACGUCAUAGAGGGUGAGAAUCCCGUCUUGAGUCGCCGGCACGCGCCCAUGUGAAGCUCCUUCGACGAGUCGAGUUGUUUGGGAAUGCAGCUCUAAGCGGGUGGUAAAUUUCAUCUAAAGCUAAAUAUUGGCCGGAGACCGAUAGCGCACAAGUAGAGUGAUCGAAAGGUUAAAAGCACCUUGAAAAGGGAGUUAAAUAGCACGUGAAAUUGUUGAAAGGGAAGCGCUUGCGGCCAGACUCGGGCGCGGGGGUUCAGCGGGCAUUCGUGCCCGUGUACUCCCCCGCGAUCCGGGCCAGCAUCGGUUUGGGCGGUCGGUCAAAGGCCCUCGGAAUGUGUCGCCUCUCGGGGCGUCUUAUAGCCGGGGGUGCAAUGCGGCCUGCCUGAC